This 601-nucleotide ribosomal RNA is filed under the name uncultured bacterium. RNAcentral describes it as "bacterial SSU rRNA". It matches the Rfam family "Bacterial small subunit ribosomal RNA", at positions 94 to 711 of the family's 1533-position model. The record is from RNAcentral.
AGUGGCGGACGGGUGAGUAACGCGUGAGUAACCUGCCUUCAAGAGGGGGAUAACAUUCUGAAAAGAAUGCUAAUACCGCAUGACAUAUCGGAACCACAUGGUUUUGAUAUCAAAGAUUUUAUCGCUUGAAGAUGGACUCGCGUCCGAUUAGUUAGUUGGUGAGGUAACGGCUCACCAAGACCGCGAUCGGUAGCCGGACUGAGAGGUUGAACGGCCACAUUGGGACUGAGACACGGCCCAGACUCCUACGGGAGGCAGCAGUGGGGGAUAUUGCGCAAUGGGGGCAACCCUGACGCAGCAACGCCGCGUGAAGGAUGAAGGUUUUCGGAUUGUAAACUUCUUUUAUUAAGGACGAGAAAUGACGGUACUUAAUGAAUAAGCUCCGGCUAACUACGUGCCAGCAGCCGCGGUAAUACGUAGGGAGCAAGCGUUGUCCGGAUUUACUGGGUGUAAAGGGUGCGUAGGCGGCUUUGCAAGUCAGAUGUGAAAUCUAUGGGCUCAACCCAUAAACUGCAUUUGAAACUGUAGAGCUUGAGUGAAGUAGAGGCAGGCGGAAUUCCCCGUGUAGCGGUGAAAUGCGUAGAGAUGGGGAGGAACACCA